This 1529-nucleotide long non-coding RNA is filed under the name Lactuca sativa (garden lettuce). Its description in RNAcentral is "long non-coding RNA (LSAT_LNC003650)". The record is from RNAcentral. Lineage: Eukaryota; Viridiplantae; Streptophyta; Magnoliopsida; Asterales; Asteraceae.
GAUGAUUUAUAAAAACAAAAAUAAAAGAAUAUUUAAUUUCUCGUAUUAUAAAGAUGAUAUAUAUAUUUUUUUCUAUAAAACUAAUUUAUUCAAUAAGGUAAAAAAAUUUGAGAACUGUAGUGGAACAGUUGAAUUCGUUACCACAAGGGGAUUUAUGGUCAACAUUAAUUUGUUAACCAAUAAAUCUAUUAAGUUAAAAAUAAACAAAAACUAUACUAUUGCAUUGUUAUUCGCAGGAACGCGAUCCAGUGUUGGAUGUAUUCUUCUUCCUUAUUGAUGUAUCAAUUUGCAAUAGGGUGAAUCGCUUGCAUUUCUAUUAAAAAUUAUUAACCUUUUACUUUUUGCUACAAAUUUUAUAUGAAGAUAAUGUAGAGUCCUCAAACAAUGGUAGGAAUUGCUACAUUUGAUGUAACCAGUGGCGGAUGCUAAGAGGGGUCAGGGGGCCAUGGCCUCUCCGGCUUAAAGGCUCAUAAUAUUUUAUAUAUAUAGUUUUUUUUAUAAAAAAAUCUAAUAUCAGUAUAUUUGCCAAGUGGCCCCUCCGUUUUGAGUUCACCUGUAUAUGUGAUGUAAGUUACAAAACUUUGUUAUCAAGUGAUAAACUUAACUCAUCCGAAAAUCACUCACCAAAUACGUAUUACAUUAGGAAAUUAAUUAAGUUAAGAAACUCUCUAUAAAACAAAAUAAAAAAUCAAAUCAAACAUAAAAUUCUUUUAACUCAAAGAUUUGGGUUUUUAAGAAAACAAUGGAGACCUAGAAAUAUCGACGCCGGAAAAAUUCCAAAUCUCACCGGAAAAACGUUGUCGUCUAUCGCCCACCUGCAUCUCUCCCAUCGGUCUCUGUGACCGCUCGCCGGACCACUGCUUCUCCGUCGUUGGACCGCUUAUUUUCCGCUCGCUCUUUUUUUCUCCUUCGUUUGCCGUCCCUCUCAAAUAAUUUGUUAUCUUCUUCGGCUCUUCGCUCUCCACAAGAGUUUUCAGGUAUUAAUUUUCAUUCCCGUUUUUGUGUAUGUACUUGCCUUCUCUUUUUUUUUUUUUAUUGUUUCUCUUUCUAUAUGUUAAAGGAGGAGUGUAGCUUUGGUUAUAGACUGACAACUGAGAAUCACUAUUGCUAUCCACUCGAUUCCUGUGAAGAAAUAGACUCCUCACAAACUUAUAUUAAAUAUUAUUUAUUGUUUUUUAAACUUGUGGUAAUUUAGACAUUUAGUAUGCAAAUACAAUAUGUAAAAUAUGAAGACUAUAACAACUAUGCUUGUAUACGAGUGUAAAAUCAUAAUAUAUUGUUUAUUUAGGUUUUAAUAUAAUAAAAUAAAUCGGUAACUUAUAUAAUUAUUAGUUAAUAUUUUAUGUAGUUCAUAUCAACUUGUAUACGAGUGUAAAAGCAUAAUAUAUUGUUUAUUUAGGUUAAUGAGCCUUUUCGAAGUGGUGAUGUAUGCCGGUUAGUGGAAAAGUUUUAUCCUGGAGAUUUUAGUGAACAAGAGAAAUUACUUUUGAAGUUGCAACUUCAACACUAUGAGAUUGAUGUUGUUAAAC